RNAcentral lists this ribosomal RNA (433 nucleotides) under uncultured bacterium. RNAcentral describes it as "partial 16S ribosomal RNA". It matches the Rfam family "Bacterial small subunit ribosomal RNA", at positions 29 to 507 of the family's 1533-position model. The record is from RNAcentral.
AACGAACGCUGGCGGCAUGCCUAACACAUGCAAGUCGAACGAGACCUUCGGGUCUAGUGGCGCACGGGUGCGUAACGCGUGGGAACCUGCCCUUAGGUUCGGAGUAACUCCCCGAAAGGGGUGCUAAUACCGGAUAAUGUCUUCGGACCAAAGAUUUAUCGCCUUUGGAUGGGCCCGCGUUGGAUUAGCUAGUUGGUAGGGUAAAAGCCUACCAAGGCGACGAUCCAUAGCUGGUCUGAGAGGAUGAUCAGCCACACUGGGACUGAGACACGGCCCAGACUCCUACGGGAGGCAGCAGUGGGGAAUAUCGGACAAUGGGCGAAAGCCUGAUCCAGCAAUGCCGCGUGAGUGAUGAAGGCCUUAGGGUUGUAAAGCUCUUUUACCCGGGAUGAUAAUGACAGUACCGGGAGAAUAAGCUCCGGCUAACUCCGUG